Long non-coding RNA from Ostrea edulis (European flat oyster), 499 nucleotides. RefSeq lists it as uncharacterized. The transcript has 3 exons. The record is from RefSeq and is a predicted model, not a curated record. Lineage: Eukaryota; Metazoa; Mollusca; Bivalvia; Ostreida; Ostreidae.
AAGGAACGUCUACUCUGGGAAUCUGUACGCCUUGUUUGAUAUUGUCAUACCGUAGGACGUUUCAGAAAUGGCCCAAGCGAAACUACCAGUUCAAAAAUCCGAUCCACCUAAAGCCAAAGCGCCCUCACAUGUUAAGGGCCCACAACAUGGUUUGACAAAAAAAGAUCUACAACAUCAUGUGAAGAGAGCACACAAACUGAGAGAUGAGAACACCAAUGACAAUGAUACGUUGUUUUGGGUUGCAGUCGUAAACAUACUCGAAGAGCGUUUACAUCAUAUGAAGUAGGGGUUCAGAUCUGGUUACGUGGUUACAAAUACUAUUGGACUUUUCAAAACUGAAAAAAAAACCUGGACCUCUCACUACCCAAAGCUUUCACUGGACUACUUACUCACUACUUAGAACUUUCACUGGACAACUCACUACCCAGAGCGUUCAGUACUUAAUAUUUAUCUAUAUUAUAUAUUUGUAUAACAGCAAAAUAAACUAAGAUAUUGUGAA